RNAcentral lists this ribosomal RNA (1167 nucleotides) under uncultured marine bacterium. RNAcentral's name for it is "bacterial SSU rRNA". It matches the Rfam family "Bacterial small subunit ribosomal RNA", at positions 326 to 1504 of the family's 1533-position model. The record is from RNAcentral.
ACGUCCCGAUUCUCUAUCUGAAGCAGCAUGCGAGUAUUCCCAUGAGUGCAGCUAGUCGAGUCCAUGCUGGCUGUGUAUAGAGCUGCGGUGUUGUAAGCACUUCCAUUAGUAGAAGGAUGGUGGUAGUACCAUCAGCGGGACGUACGUACUGAACGAAAGCACCGGCUACUACGUGCCAGCAGCACAGUAAUAAGACGGUGCGAGCGAUGAGUCGAUCUUACUGAGUGUAAGCGUACGCAGCAGUGAUAGUGAGAUAUGAAAGCCCCGGGCUCAAUCUGCGAAGCUACAUUCAGAACGAGUCAACUAGAUUGUGAUAGAUAGUGGUAGAUUGUCAUGCGUAGCGGUGAGAUGACGUAGAGAUAUAUAGGAAUACCGACGGAGAAGGCAGCCACCUGCGUCAACAAUCACGCUCAUUUAUGAAAGAAUGGGGAGCGAGCAAGCUUAGUUACCUUGCUAGUUCGCGCACUAAACGAUGUAUAUUAGAAGCUGGGUUCGUGCGUCAAUUUUUUCAAAGAUAACGCAUUAAGUAGAUCGACUGGGGAGUACGUCCGCAAGGAUAAAAAUAAAAUAAAUGAAUGGGGGCCCGCCCAAGCGGUGGAGCAUGCGGUUGAUUUAGAUGCAUCGAGAAGAACGUACCUUACACUCGCCAUCCAGAGAAAUCACUAGAGAUAGAUUUGUGCGUUCGGUAAGUAUGUGACAGGCAGUGCAUGGAUGUCGUCAGCUCGUGUUGUGAGAUGUUGGGUUAGGUACCGCAACGAGCGCAACCCCCAUCUUUCGUUGCCAGCGAGCAAGGUCGGGAACUAUAAGGAGAGAGCCGGUGAUAAACCGGAGGAAGGUGGGGAGGACGUCAAGUCAUCAUGGCCCUUCCGUGUAGGGCUACACACGUGCUACAAUCGCAGGUACAGACGGCAGCAAGCGAGCGAUAGUGAGUGAAUCCCUUAAAGCUUGUCGUAGUCCGGAUUGGAGUGAGCAACUCGACUCCAUGAAGUCGGAAUCGCUAGUAAUCGCAAAUCAGAAUGUUGCGGUGAAUACGUUCCCGGGCCUUCUACACACCGCCCGUCACACCAUGCGAGUGGGUGGCACCAGAAGUAGGUAGAUUAUCUUUCCGGAGGGCGGUUACCACGGUGUGAUUCAUGCCUGGGGGGAAGUAGUUACAAGGUAGCCGUA